GUGAGAGACAGCUCAGUAGUUAAGAGCCCUGGCUGCUCUUCCAGAGGACCUGGGUUCAAUUCCUAGCACACACA
Molecule: non-coding RNA, 74 nt
Organism: Mesocricetus auratus (golden hamster)
Lineage: Eukaryota; Metazoa; Chordata; Mammalia; Rodentia; Cricetidae
Source: Rfam